UGUACUUGUUCAUUUCUUUCAUUCUUUAUUGGGUGUGUAUUUCUUGGGAUGCCGAUAAAUAAUAACUUGCUUCUUCGGAGAGGUUCUUGGAGAUAUAAUUGAUGAAACUGCAAUGCGUUUUGCCCAUUUUAGUGCUUUUUUAACAAUUAAAUGGAAUAGUGAAAAAAAUAUAAUCUUGCUUUGUAAAAUGUUUAAAAGAUUCUAUUUCCAAUUAUUGUACUUUAUUUUUUUCUGAAUUACCAGGCAGUACGCAGAAAUUGCAUUGUGCAGGUAGUUAUGUUUGCCGUGUUAUUUUGAGUUUUGAAGUUUAUUGUGAGUUUCUCUGGAUAAUUG
RNAcentral lists this unclassified non-coding RNA (333 nucleotides) under Hevea brasiliensis (rubber tree). Lineage: Eukaryota; Viridiplantae; Streptophyta; Magnoliopsida; Malpighiales; Euphorbiaceae. The record is from RNAcentral.